Molecule: ribosomal RNA, 497 nt
Filed under: uncultured bacterium
Lineage: Bacteria
Description: partial 16S ribosomal RNA
Rfam family: Bacterial small subunit ribosomal RNA
Source: RNAcentral
GAUGAACGCUGGCGGCGUGCCUAAUACAUGCAAGUCGAGCGAACGGACGAGAAGCUUGCUUCUCUGAUGUUAGCGGCGGACGGGUGAGUAACACGUGGAUAACCUACCUAUAAGACUGGGAUAACUUCGGUAAACCGGAGCUAAUACCGGAUGAUUCUUUGAACCGCAUGGUUCAAAAGUGAAAGACUGUCUUGCUGUCACUUAUAGAUGGAUCCGCGCUGCAUUAGUUAGUUGGUAAGGAAACGGCUUACCAAGGCAACAAUGCAUAGCCGACCUGAGAGGGUGAUAGGACAGAAUAGAACUGAGACACGAUCCAGACUCCUACGGGAGGCAGCAUGAGGGAAUCGUCCGCAAUAGGCGAAAGCCUUACGGAGCAACGCCGCGUGAGUGAUGAAGGUCUUCGGAUCGUAAAACUCUGUUAUUAGGGAAGAACAUUUCUGUAAGUAACUGUGCACAUCUUGACGGUACCUAAUCAGAAAGCCACGGCUAACUACGUG